Molecule: transfer RNA, 76 nt
Filed under: Candidatus Yanofskybacteria bacterium RIFCSPHIGHO2_01_FULL_41_26
Lineage: Bacteria; Candidatus Yanofskyibacteriota
Also listed under: 1 other name
Description: tRNA-Lys
Rfam family: tRNA
About the family: Transfer RNA (tRNA) molecules are approximately 80 nucleotides in length. Their secondary structure includes four short double-helical elements and three loops (D, anti-codon, and T loops). Further hydrogen bonds mediate the characteristic L-shaped molecular structure. tRNAs have two regions of fundamental functional importance: the anti-codon, which is responsible for specific mRNA codon recognition, and the 3' end, to which the tRNAs corresponding amino acid is attached (by aminoacyl-tRNA synthetases). tRNAs cope with the degeneracy of the genetic code in two manners: having more than one tRNA (with a specific anti-codon) for a particular amino acid; and 'wobble' base-pairing, i.e. permitting non-standard base-pairing at the 3rd anti-codon position.
Source: RNAcentral
CCGCCCCUAGCUCAAUUGGUAGAGCAGCACCCUCUUAAGGUGAAUGUUCCGCGUUCGAGUCGCGGGGGGCGGACAA